GGGGACGGCUGGGGGGAUUCUCCUGUGGAGGAGCUUGAGGGUGUAGUCUGCAACCUGUUGAGGGGUGGCUCUUUCCUUGGCCUCAGCACCAGGAGUAACCAUGCUUGGCUUGAGGAGGAUACCCUCAAACAAGACAUUGUUCUCAGCAAGGUAGAAGAAAACCUCGGCCCAAACCUUCAGGGCGACUUCAAAAGUCCUGUCAAUGGUGUGUUCACCAUCAAGCAAAAUCUCUGGCUCUACAAUUGGGACCAAACCAUUGUCCUAAACAAUCAAGAAGCAAAACCCUAAUCAGAAACACAUCCUAACUAGACAGAAAACACCAACCCGGUUGUCUAAUUAGCAAUUUGAUACUUAAUAAAUUUUGAAAGCAAAACUUUCCAAGUAGCAAAACUACUAUUGACUGAUGACCAGUUAAAGAAUACAAAUAUUGUCUGCAUAGAUAUUAG
This 446-nucleotide long non-coding RNA is filed under the name Prunus persica (peach). RNAcentral's name for it is "long non-coding RNA (PPER_LNC008269)". Lineage: Eukaryota; Viridiplantae; Streptophyta; Magnoliopsida; Rosales; Rosaceae. The record is from RNAcentral.